This is a long non-coding RNA of Carassius auratus (goldfish), 700 nucleotides long. RefSeq lists it as uncharacterized. The record is from RefSeq and is a predicted model, not a curated record. The transcript is spliced from 3 exons. Lineage: Eukaryota; Metazoa; Chordata; Actinopteri; Cypriniformes; Cyprinidae.
ACUCCAUUGACUCCAAUGGAACGCUUUUUUUACAGCAAUGGCGGCUCGUGGAGCCUUUCAAUAGUUCCCGGAAGUAGCAGCAAACCUAUGCCGCGCCGUAGAGAUGCAGCAGAACAAACCGUUUGCGACGCACUUUUAAUAGACCCAGGUAACUGGCUGAUGGUUCAAUGGAAUGCUGACUGGAUGCUGACUGACUUGCUGCUGGUUGACUGGGCAGUGUCACCUGUCCCUGUCUCUCCUCUCUAGCCAUGUCCUUUUUCUUCACUCUCACUUUCCCUUCUCUGAGUGUCCUCGUUCUUUUUUCCUCAACCUUUGAAACUGAUAGAGGUCUAGGGGUGCAUCGUGGAGCAGGGCCCUCCUCUUUUUGACCACAGGACGGUGUACAAAGAUUGUGGGAAUAGCAUCUGGUCUCAGCCUACUCUUGAAUUUUUUGGUCAUGACAAAUUGCUUUGCCGCAAUUUCUCUGCAUACUGACUUCAGUUUAAUUUCCACACACACCUUUUUUUUUGUCUACGCACAUACAGUACAUAUCACAUGGUGGUUAAAUGCACAGUUAUAGGUAACACUGAUGACUCCCUGCAAUGUCUCACCAUGAGUCUCAGCUCCCUGGGUUUUACAAGGCUUUGAUUGUUCCUUAUUUCUAGUAAAACAUUGUCAAUGUAAAAAAGUGCAAAUAAAUGUAAGUAUAAUUACCUAACAA